This 440-nucleotide ribosomal RNA is filed under the name uncultured bacterium. RNAcentral's name for it is "partial 16S ribosomal RNA". It matches the Rfam family "Bacterial small subunit ribosomal RNA", at positions 338 to 795 of the family's 1533-position model. The record is from RNAcentral.
CCUACGGGAGGCAGCAGUGGGGAAUAUUCCACAAUGGGGGAAACCCUGAUGCAGCGACGCCGCGUGAGUGAAGAAGUCCUUCGGUAUGUAAAGCUCUAUCAGCAGGGAAGAAAAUUACGGUACCUGAUUAAUAAGCCACGGCUAACUCCGUGCCAGCAGCCGCGGUAAUACGUAGGGGGCAAGCGCUAUCCGGAUAUACUGGGGGGAACGGGGGCGUAGACGGCAGCACAAGUCCGGGAUGAAAUGCCCGGGCUUAACCCCGGAUCUGGUUUGGAAACUGUGCAGCUAGAGUGCAGGAGAGGUAAGUGGAAUUCCUAGUGUAGCGGUGAAAUGCGUAGAUAUUAGGAGGAACACCAGUGGCGAAGGCGGCUUACUGGACUGUAACUGACGUUGAGGCUCGAAAGCGUGGGGAGCAAACAGGAUUAGAUACCCGGGUAGUC